GACGAACGCUGGCGGCGUGCCUAAUACAUGCAAGUCGAACGAGUGGCGGACGGGUGAGUAAUGUAUGGGGACCUGCCCGAUAGAGGGGGGUAACUACGGGAAACUGUGGCUAAUACUGCAUACUAUCGGAUGAACCCAUAUGGGAUUAGUGAGUAGGUGGGGUAAAGGCUCACCUAGGCGACGACCUCUGGCUGGUGUGAGGGGGUGAUCAGCCACACUGGGACUGGGACACUGCCCAGCCUCCUACGGGAGGCAGCAGUGGGGAAUAUUGCACCAUGGGAGCAAGCCUGAUGCAGCCAUGCCGCGUGUAUGAAGAAGGCCUUAGGGUUGUAAAGUUCUUUCAGCGGGGAGGCGUUACCCGCAGAAGAAGCACCGGCUAACUCCGUGCCAGCAGCCGCGGUAAUAC
RNAcentral lists this ribosomal RNA (406 nucleotides) under uncultured bacterium. RNAcentral describes it as "partial 16S ribosomal RNA". It matches the Rfam family "Bacterial small subunit ribosomal RNA", at positions 28 to 526 of the family's 1533-position model. The record is from RNAcentral.